RNAcentral lists this long non-coding RNA (839 nucleotides) under Cairina moschata (Muscovy duck). RNAcentral describes it as "domestica (muscovy Duck (domestic type)) lncRNA (ENSCMMG00000001640.1)". The record is from RNAcentral. Lineage: Eukaryota; Metazoa; Chordata; Aves; Anseriformes; Anatidae.
GCGCACCGGACACGAGGACGGGGCGGGAGCCGGAGGGAUGUGCUGGGGACGGCCACCACCUCCCUGCCUCUAGCCCAGGGGCUCCUCCACCUCACCCCGGCCGCGGAGCCGGACUGGGAGGCAGAGCGGGGGGUGGCAACCAGGCACUCCGGGAAAUUAUCCGUUUUCACACAACCCGGGCUCAUCCCGUGGUCUGACAGAGGUAAUGUCCGGUAGCACCUUGGGGGGGCUGCUACUGGGGCACUACAAUCAGUGGCUUCUUACGCCACAGAGAAAACUAGGAGAUCAAAUAGGGAAAACAAACAAACAAACAAACAAGCAAACAAAAUAAAAAGACACAAAACCACCUUUUCGGCUGGAAACAGAGUCAUUGCUCCUGUUCAGUAAUAUCCCAGACAUGAGUAUGUAAUGUGUCCCUGAUCCCUGAUUCACUGUUUGCAGCGAUUGCCAAUGGGAGCGUUCGGGCUUUGAAGUUAUGGAAAUUGUCUUCGCAGGCAUUAGUCGGUAUUUUAAUAGCUCUCAUUCUGGCUCGCUUGCUGCAGGAUUUAGAAAAGCCAAAAAUUCAGCGCUCUUCCGGGGCAUCUAAAACGUUAGGUCCGUCCUCCGAGAGGCAAUUCAACGUGAGGCCAAGUGCGGAGAGACGAAAUGAGUGCAUGUGUUCAAAAUUACAUUUUCGGCAGAAAUUAAGAUCCACCGGUCCGCGUUUAAAUGCGAGUGAGCCGGGGAUGGCGGAGAGCGGGAGCGAAAAGAGCCGCCGGGACGCACGCAGGGCGCCCGCACCGCCGGACGAUCUGCGCCCCUUGCAAGUAGCUAAACCAAAAAUACAGCGCAGUUGCUAG